GCAAACAUGACCUGCUUGUUAGUGUGCGGCUUGUACUUUCAGACAGGACCGGUGCUGUGGUUGUCCUCACUAACCAGAAACCAAAUGAGUGCUACAAGCAAUGCAAAGAUUCAUCAAUUAGUGUUAAUGUCAGUGGUGUCUUGGUGUGGUGGACAUGUGUCCACAUUUUGACCUGAGGCCAGCUGAUCUGUCUGCAGCUGCUGCUUGACUCAAGAUACAGUAUAAAACGAGACUGAGCCACAGAGUGAAUGUAUCAGACUGUUAGCCGGAGCCUCAGGGUGAUCUCAUCGAGCUCAGUCUGCAGCAUACAGGCCGACGUCUUCAAGCUACAGUACAUAGCAGAAUACUGGAAUUCGAAGUUUACACUGGACGGCGGACAAGUGAAAGGAAGGGCUAAAAAGCGUCCAGCAGGAGAGCAGCGCACAGGAGUUUUUGUAAUUUAGAUCAAUGAUGCAGAAAAUAGAUGCUUUUCGGGCAGCAGUAUUUUACUGUAGAGCCUGUCUGAAGUGCUUUCAAACCACUAGUGACAGAUGGUCCUGGGUGUCUGACAUUGUCUCCUAUCGAUCCCUCCAGGGGGUCAAGAAAACAAAUGGGGUCAAGGUAAUGCAUGUGUCUGCACGAUACAUAACUCCUUUUUUUAAAAACUUAAUUUGAUAGGCCAUCUGGUCUUUCAUGUGCUGAUGAAGUUUCCUCAUCUGAGUGUAAAGAAUUAAUUAAUUGUUGUUGUAAACUUAAUUGUUGUAUUUAAAUAAAUACCAUCUUAAAAUCUGCCAUUAUUUAAAACUGUAGAAGGUUAUGUCCUCAAAAGUCCAGAGCAAAGGUUUUAAAAUAACUUUGGGAGUGAUUAAUUGUGGAAAUUAAACUCUUCAAGUGAAGUGGACUUUCAGGAAAUGUCAAAUUGAGCUCUGACAGCA
Molecule: long non-coding RNA, 914 nt
Organism: Siniperca chuatsi (mandarin fish)
Lineage: Eukaryota; Metazoa; Chordata; Actinopteri; Centrarchiformes; Sinipercidae
Exons: 3
Source: RefSeq, a predicted model, not a curated record